This 253-nucleotide ribosomal RNA is filed under the name uncultured bacterium. RNAcentral's name for it is "partial 16S ribosomal RNA". It matches the Rfam family "Bacterial small subunit ribosomal RNA", at positions 524 to 776 of the family's 1533-position model. The record is from RNAcentral.
UACAGAGGGUGCAAGCGUUGUUCGGAAUUAUUGGGCGUAAAGCGCGUGUAGGCGGCUUUGCAAGUCGGGUGUGAAAGCCCUCAGCUCAACUGAGGAAGUGCGCCCGAAACUGCAGAGCUUGAGUGCCGGAGAGGGUGGCGGAAUUCCCCAAGUAGAGGUGAAAUUCGUAGAUAUGGGGAGGAACACCGGUGGCGAAGGCGGCCACCUGGACGGUAACUGACGCUGAGACGCGAAAGCGUGGGGAGCGAACAGG